GAUGUCUGAUUAGCUAGUUGGUGAGGUAAAGGCUUACCAAGGCGACGAUCAGUAGCUGGUCUGAGAGGACGACCAGCCACACUGGGACUGAGACACGGCCCAGACUCCUACGGGAGGCAGCAGUGGGGAAUUUUGGACAAUGGGGGAAACCCUGAUCCAGCCAUGCCGCGUGAGUGAAGAAGGCCUUCGGGUUGUAAAGCUCUUUCAGCCGGAACGAAACGGUCACGGCUAAUACCUGUGAUCACUGACGGUACCGGAAGAAGAAGCACCGGCUAACUACGUGCCAGCAGCCGCGGUAAUACGUAGGGUGCAAGCGUUAAUCGGAAUUACUGGGCGUAAAGCGUGCGCAGGCGGUUUUGUAAGUCAGAUGUGAAAUCCCCGGGCUUAACCUGGGAACU
This 398-nucleotide ribosomal RNA is filed under the name uncultured ammonia-oxidizing bacterium DGGE-DF-C1. RNAcentral describes it as "bacterial SSU rRNA". It matches the Rfam family "Bacterial small subunit ribosomal RNA", at positions 232 to 622 of the family's 1533-position model. The record is from RNAcentral. Lineage: Bacteria; Pseudomonadati; Pseudomonadota; Betaproteobacteria; Nitrosomonadales; Nitrosomonadaceae. RNAcentral also lists the same sequence under 3 other names.